RNAcentral lists this ribosomal RNA (396 nucleotides) under uncultured bacterium. RNAcentral's name for it is "bacterial SSU rRNA". It matches the Rfam family "Bacterial small subunit ribosomal RNA", at positions 28 to 416 of the family's 1533-position model. The record is from RNAcentral.
GACGAACGCUGGCGGCGUGCUUAAUACAUGCAAGUCGAGCGAGGCCCAUCCAGUGGCAACACUGGGGAAGGCCGAGCGGCGAACGGGUGAGUAACACGUGAGCAACCUGCCCCGAAGUCUGGAAUAACAUCGGGAAACCGGUGCUAAUACCGGAUUGCCCCACCUGACCGCAUGAUCGGGUGAGGAAAGAUUUAUCGCUUCGGGAGGGGCUCGCGGCCUAUCAGCUAGUUGGCGGGGUAACGGCCCACCAAGGCGUCGACGGGUAGCUGGUCUGAGAGGACGACCAGCCACACUGGGACUGAGACACGGCCCAGACUCCUACGGGAGGCAGCAGUAGGGAAUCUUGCGCAAUGGGCGAAAGCCUGACGCAGCAACGCCGCGUGGGGGAUGACGGCC